Molecule: ribosomal RNA, 440 nt
Filed under: uncultured Coprococcus sp.
Lineage: Bacteria; Bacillati; Bacillota; Clostridia; Lachnospirales; Lachnospiraceae
Description: bacterial SSU rRNA
Rfam family: Bacterial small subunit ribosomal RNA
Source: RNAcentral
CCUACGGGAGGCUGCAGUGGGGAAUAUUGCACAAUGGGGGAAACCCUGAUGCAGCGACGCCGCGUGAAGGAAGACGUAUUUCGGUAUGUAAACUUCUAUCAGCAAGGAAGAUAAUGACGGUACUUGACUAAGAAGCCCCGGCUAACUACGUGCCAGCAGCCGCGGUAAUACGUAGGGGGCAAGCGUUAUCCGGAUUUACUGGGUGUAAAGGGAGCGUAGGCGGCCAUGCAAGUCAGAAGUGAAAGCCCGGGGCUCAACCCCGGGACUGCUUUUGAAACUGCAAGGCUAGAUUACCGGAGAGGUAAGUGGAAUUCCUAGUGUAGCGGUGAAAUGCGUAGAUAUUAGGAGGAACACCAGUGGCGAAGGCGACUUACUGGACGGUUAAUGACGCUGAGGCUCGAAAGCGUGGGGAGCAAACAGGAUUAGAUACCCUAGUAGUC